This is a long non-coding RNA of Musa acuminata AAA Group (dessert banana), 958 nucleotides long. RefSeq lists it as uncharacterized. The record is from RefSeq and is a predicted model, not a curated record. Lineage: Eukaryota; Viridiplantae; Streptophyta; Magnoliopsida; Zingiberales; Musaceae. The transcript is spliced from 2 exons.
GCGGACCUCUAUCGACUACCACAUCUGAUUUUAAUCUGGCGUAGUAGGGUUUAUCCGUCGACCAUUUGGGGGAAUGGGACCGCACAACGGUUGUAUGCGGACCUCUAUCCGUCGCAUAAGCACCCGUCCGAUGGACGACACGUCUACUGACUGAAGCAUCCAACGGUUCGAAUCUCUCGAUGAAUGCUUGAAACCCAUCUCUCUUCUCGACCUUCGCCGGCCAAUUUCCCUUCGACAUGGAGACGAGGCCUUCGAUCUUCCUCGCCGCCACCACGGUCGAGGAGUUCCUUCAGGCGAUCAAUCCCCGUCAUCAUGGUCUUUCGCCACUUAGGGUUCCGAGAUGGCGAAACUGGAUCUGCGAACCUUGAGCAAGACGAGGUAGGCGAAAUGCUUGACUUCUUUCCUUCUCUGUUGUUAUGCAGUGCGGCUGAAGACUUGGGCUUUGCGACAGCGUUUGGAUAAGGUGGUUUCCAGUGGGAGGAGCGAGGUAUUAGCUUCAUGCUAUCACUUCAUUGCUAUUUCGAUAAAGGUCUCUUCUGAAAUCGGAGCUAUGAGAGAGUUUAUGCCGGUGGCCAAUUAGCCAGUCACACCCUCGCAGCUGUAAUGGCUGUAAUCUUUGUGUGAAUGGUCAGUAAGCACACCGAUAGUAACUGUGUGUUUGCGUCCUUUGAGGGCAUCAGAGGCUUAUGAAGUCUCAAAAGAGAACUCUAAUGCGGGCAGGAGAGCGGUAUUUAAAGUACACCAGUUGGCAAUGCUUUUCUUGGUGGUGAAUUGAGGUAGUGUCCUCCACCUGCUAUCAGCCUUGGAGAUACAUUGUCAGUAAUAUAACAUCUAUACUGUUGUAAACAAUUAUGUAUUUUAGUUGUAUCACACAAAAAAUUCUUUCAUAUUUGUAACCUUAUCACUGUACAGCAGAACAUUAUUAUUAGUGUACCUUAGAAAUCAUUAUUAUUGUUGA